This 359-nucleotide ribosomal RNA is filed under the name uncultured bacterium. RNAcentral describes it as "bacterial SSU rRNA". It matches the Rfam family "Bacterial small subunit ribosomal RNA", at positions 335 to 681 of the family's 1533-position model. The record is from RNAcentral.
ACUCCUACGGGAGGCAGCAGUGGGGAAUAUUGGACAAUGGGGGAAACCCUGAUCCAGCCAUGCCGCGUGUGUGAAGAAGGCCUUCGGGUUGUUAAAGCACUUUCAGUGGGGAGGAAAGGUUGAUGGUUAAUACCUAUCAGCUGUGACGUUACCCACAGAAGAAGCACCGGCUAACUCCGUGCCAGCAGCCGCGGUAAUACGGAGGGUGCAAGCGUUAAUCGGAAUUACUGGGCGUAAAGCGUGCGCAGGCGGUCUGUUAAAGCGAGAUGUGAAAGCCCCGGGCUCAACCUGGGAAACUGCAUUUCGAAACUGGGCAGACUAGAGUCUUGUAGAGGGGGUAGGAAUUCCAGGUGUAGCGG